GAUGAACGCUGGCGGCGUGCCUAACACAUGCAAGUCGAACGAAGCUGUUUAACGGAAGCCUUCGGGUGGAAGUUAAAUAGACUGAGUGGCGGACGGGUGAGUAACGCGUGGGUAACCUGCCCUACACAGGGGGACAACAGCUGGAAACGGCUGCUAAUACCGCAUAAGCGCACAGUACCGCAUGGUACAGUGUGAAAAACUCCGGUGGUGUAGGAUGGACCCGCGUCCGAUUAGCUAGUUGGUAGGGUAAUGGCCUACCAAGGCGACGAUCAGUAGCCGACCUGAGAGGGUGACCGGCCACAUUGGGACUGAGACACGGCCCAAACUCCUACGGGAGGCAGCAGUGGGGAAUAUUGCACAAUGGGGGAAACCCUGAUGCAGCGACGCCGCGUGAAGGAAGAAGUAUUUCGGUAUGUAAACUUCUAUCAGCAGGGAAGAAAAUGACGGUACCUGACUAAGAAGCCCCGGCUAAUUACGUGCCAGCCGCCGCGGUAACAC
This 498-nucleotide ribosomal RNA is filed under the name uncultured bacterium. RNAcentral describes it as "bacterial SSU rRNA". It matches the Rfam family "Bacterial small subunit ribosomal RNA", at positions 28 to 526 of the family's 1533-position model. The record is from RNAcentral.